UCCCACGCAGGCUUCGCUCAGUUCUGCGUCUCCGCCUGGGAGCAUCCCAGCCGUGGGCGGUAGGGGGUAGGAGGCACUGUGCCCUCGUCACUCCAGCGGGCAGGGCGGGGCCAAGUGCGCGCGGAUGCGUGGCGUCGGGAUGCUGGGACCCCCGAAAGCCAACCGCCCCCGUGGAGACGUAGGGUGGUUUCCGGAGCCCGAACACGGCCGGGCAAGUUAGGGACCCUCCGCCUCAGCACAGGGACACCUGCCCCCUCCAGGCUGUGCCCUGGGGGUCCUGUUCUGUGAUGGUCACUCCCCCUCAGCCUGCAGGCUCCCAGCAGAUCACCCAUCACCACUGGCCUCUCAGCCCCAUGUCUAGGCUUCACUCUCUCCGGCAUCCUUGCCUUCCUUCACCCCUGACUCAUCUGGAAAAACCCAACCCGGUAGGUGUCAGGAGGUCGUGGCCUGGGCGCCCCUGCAGGACAGAACUUGAGGCCAAGGCUGACACAGAGUGGAGCUGGACCUGUCCAGGGCGUCUCUGUGGCUUGAACUCCACUCCAGCCAUGGAACCGGGGAGUCGGCCAUCAGUGGCCAGGGCACAGCCCGGGCUGUUCCUGGCUCCUGUGAAGCUCUUGCUGCCACGCGGUCUGUGGGCCAUUGUUACGGCAGCCCUGGAAACUGCUACAAUCUCCAGUCUCCAAGACAACUGCCGACUGAAGACAGUGAAGAACGGAACGGUCAGGACCCGGGCCAGGCUUUGCCCCGGGGGAGAGGACGUUCCCACGUGCUGGGACUUGCCUGAAACGCCCCGGGAGGGACGCACAGCCAGGAAGAGGCAGGAGCCAGGUCUUCCUCCUCACUGCACAGCCUGGGUUCCGCUUGCAUUUUUUACUUUUUACCACGUUAAUAAGGAAAUAAAUAAAAUUCAGAUCAGGGAGAAAACAAAAUGUCAAAAGACCCAUGUAAACCCGACACCUCUCCUAACCCUCCUCUCACCUGACUUGCUGUUUAACCAUCGGCCACAAGGGUGGGAGCGGGGACCCUGCCUUUAGCAUCUGCCUGGUCUCUUUCAGAGGAAAGAAAAAUGAGAGGCAGG
This is a long non-coding RNA of Bos taurus (domestic cattle), 1078 nucleotides long. Lineage: Eukaryota; Metazoa; Chordata; Mammalia; Artiodactyla; Bovidae. The record is from Ensembl.